This 224-nucleotide ribosomal RNA is filed under the name uncultured bacterium. RNAcentral describes it as "partial 16S ribosomal RNA". It matches the Rfam family "Bacterial small subunit ribosomal RNA", at positions 524 to 745 of the family's 1533-position model. The record is from RNAcentral.
GACGAACUGUCCAAACGUUGUUCGGAAUCACUGGGCUUAAAGGGCGCGUAGGCGGUCGGCCAAGUCAGGGGUGAAAUCCUGCAGCUUAACUGUAGAAGUGCCUUUGAUACUGGUCGUCUCGAGGGAGGUAGGGGUGUGUGGAACUCAACAGUGGAGCGGUGAAAUGCGUUGAUAUUGUGAGGAACGCCGGAGGCGAAAGCGACGCACUGGACCGUCUUCUAACG